Molecule: long non-coding RNA, 393 nt
Filed under: Mytilus galloprovincialis (Mediterranean mussel)
Lineage: Eukaryota; Metazoa; Mollusca; Bivalvia; Mytilida; Mytilidae
Source: RNAcentral
CAAUUCUAGACAAAGGAAGAUAAAUCUAUUGUUAUUAAGAUGACUUUAACAAAAACAUCAUUACAUCUUUAGAACAGGUAUGAGAUAUUAGGAUGAAUAGAAUGUUAUGAUCAAUGCACUAUAUUUUGUGUAUCAAAGAGGUAGUGAUAAGUCUUAGAAGAUUUAGAUAUCAAGUCAGUCUCAUAAGGUUUUGAUUGCAUUUUAAGCAAUCUUUACCUCAAAAGUAUUAUGCAUCCAUAAAGUAUAGAUUGGGUCCAUCCCAACAAUUUCACUUCGGGUUAACCUUAAAACACUUAUUGUUUUUUAUAGACAUCGGCCUCAAUUAUGGUUACCCUAAUUUUCAUUAAGAAUAAAUUAUUAUAUUUUUAAUCAAUGCAAGUCAAAAUUACAAUG